Molecule: long non-coding RNA, 923 nt
Organism: Macrobrachium nipponense
Lineage: Eukaryota; Metazoa; Arthropoda; Malacostraca; Decapoda; Palaemonidae
Exons: 3
Source: RefSeq, a predicted model, not a curated record
AUACCAGAUUGUCGUGCUAUGGAAAUACGGUAGGACCGACUCACAGAUCCAUGGUAUCUGGGAACCAAGCAAUAGAUCAGUUUGAGCUUAGCUUAGUGAAAGUGUGAUCCGUGUUCUUCUUCGUUUUAUUAUUGAGGUGACGAUCCCCGACCAAGAGAGAGUGAUGGAUCUCAUUAACCGAAUCCCGACCAAGAAACAAUACUGGAUCUCUUAAUUUCCCGAUUCCUGACAGAGAGAUAAUACUGGAUUUCAUCACUAACCUAUUUCGGACCGAGAAACAAUGCUGGAUCUCUUCAUUCCGGAUUCACGACCGAAAAACAAUACUGGAUGUUUCCAUUCCCCGAUUCCCGACUGAGAAACAAUACUGUAUCUCCUCGCAUAUCGAUUUCAGACCGAGAAACAAUACUGGAUCUCUUCAUUCCCAAUUCCCGACCGAGAAACAAUACUGAAUCUCUUCAUUUCCUUACUCCCUGCCAAGGAACAAUACUGGAUCUCUUCACUUCCCGAUUCCCGUCCGAGAAACAGUACUGAAUCUCCUCACACAUCGAUUUCAGACCGAGAAACAAGAUGAUCAUUAGACCAAAAAUUACAACAGAAGCCAUCUUACAAACGGGAACCUUAGACAAAGGGAACGCGACUCAACUGGCUGUAACGGCACAGAAGCUAUCUUACAAGAAGGAACUUAAGAAUAUGGGACGGCUGCAAAGCACAGAAUCCGCUCACUAGAGGGAACUUGGAAAAUGGUAACACUCCUCGGCAGCACAGAAGCAAGAGGGAACCUCAGAAAGUGUGAACAUGACUUUAGCUCUCCCGGCUCUCAGCCCACCAAGAGAAACAGGGAGUCAGUCGGCAUUACGAAAUUGGACAUACUUCAGUGAGAUUAUAACAAAUGAUACGCUUGUUAUUUUAAAAAUUUUCACCAA